GAAAUGCGAUACGUAAUGCGAAUUGCAGAACUCAGUGAAUCAUCAAAUCUUUGAACGCAAAUGGCGCUUUUAGGAUAGGCCUGAAAGCACGCCUCUUUGAGUAUCGAUUCCACCACAACAAGUCAACUUGUUUGAAUUUGUUGAAAUUGAGUAUUCAUCUUUUUUCUUGAAAAGAGAUGUUACUUGAAGCUGAAUAGGUUUAUCAAGGAUUUUUGUUCGUUUAAACUAUUUGUUGACUUCGGUUGACGAAUGAUUUUCACGACACGUGGGUAAAUUAUCCAAUACGUGACAUGAAUAUAAAUGUUUAUCCGAUUUUUCAAGAAUCACAACCUUUAACCCCAAUCUAAUCUGAGAAUUAGAUCUCAAAUGAAGCGAGAAUACCCGCUGAACUUAA
Molecule: unclassified non-coding RNA, 394 nt
Filed under: uncultured fungus
Lineage: Eukaryota; Fungi
Description: sequence contains ITS1
Rfam family: 5.8S ribosomal RNA (bases 1-106)
Source: RNAcentral